UACGUAGGGGGCUAGCGUUGUCCGGAAUCAUUGGGCGUAAAGAGCGUGUAGGCGGCCCGGUAAGUCCGCUGUAAAAGUCAAAGGCUCAACCUUUGAAUGUCAGUGGAUACUGCCGGGCUAGAGUCCGGAAGAGGCGAGUGGAACUCCUGGUGUAGCGGUGGAAUGCGCAGAUAUCAGGAAGAACACCCGUGGCGAAGGCGGUUCUCUGGGACGGUACUGACGCUGAGACGCGAAAGCGUGGGGAGCGAACAGG
This 253-nucleotide ribosomal RNA is filed under the name uncultured bacterium. RNAcentral describes it as "partial 16S ribosomal RNA". It matches the Rfam family "Bacterial small subunit ribosomal RNA", at positions 524 to 776 of the family's 1533-position model. The record is from RNAcentral.